AGUGAACGCUGGCGGUAGGCCUAACACAUGCAAGUCGAACGGCAGCACAGUAAGAGCUUGCUCUUACGGGUGGCGAGUGGCGGACGGGUGAGGAAUACAUCGGAAUCUACUUUUUCGUGGGGGAUAACGUAGGGAAACUUACGCUAAUACCGCAUACGACCUACGGGUGAAAGCAGGGGAUCUUCGGACCUUGCGCGAUUGAAUGAGCCGAUGUCGGAUUAGCUAGUUGGCGGGGUAAAGGCCCACCAAGGCGACGAUCCGUAGCUGGUCUGAGAGGUUGUUCAGCCCACCUGAAACUGGGACCCGGUCCAGACCCCUACGGAAGGCGGCGUUGGGGACUUUUGGACAAUGGGCGCAACCUGAUCCAGCCAUACCGCGUGGGUGAAGAAGGCCUUCGGGUUGUAAAGCCCUUUUGUUGGGAAAGAAAAGCAGCAGGUUAAUACCCCGCUGUUCUGACGGUACCCAAAGAAUAAGCACCGGCUAACUUCGUG
This 491-nucleotide ribosomal RNA is filed under the name uncultured bacterium. RNAcentral's name for it is "partial 16S ribosomal RNA". It matches the Rfam family "Bacterial small subunit ribosomal RNA", at positions 29 to 507 of the family's 1533-position model. The record is from RNAcentral.